Molecule: non-coding RNA, 46 nt
Organism: Schistosoma margrebowiei
Lineage: Eukaryota; Metazoa; Platyhelminthes; Trematoda; Strigeidida; Schistosomatidae
Source: Rfam
GCACUGCUGAGGAGUCCCACACUAGGAUGUAACGGCCGUCCAGUGC